GACGAACGCUGGCGGCGUGCUUAACACAUGCAAGUCGAACGGAGAGGCCCUGCUUUUGUGGGGUGCUCGAGUGGCGAACGGGUGAGUAACACGUGAGUAACCUGCCCUUGACUUUGGGAUAACUUCAGGAAACUGGGGCUAAUACCGGAUAGGAGCUCCUGCUGCAUGGUGGUGGUUGGAAAGUUUCGGCGGUUGGGGAUGGACUCGCGGCUUAUCAGCUUGUUGGUGGGGUAGUGGCUUACCAAGGCUUUGACGGGUAGCCGGCCUGGGAGGGUGACCGGCCACAUUGGGACUGAGAUGCAGCCGUGACUCCUACGGGAGGAAGCAGUGGGGUAUAAUGCAGCAUGGGCGGAAGCCUGAUGCAGCAACGCCGCGUGCGGGAUGACGGCCUUCGGGUUGUAAACCGCUUUCGCCUGUGACGAAGCGUGAGGGACGGUAAUGGGUAAAGAAGCACCGGCUAACUCCGUG
RNAcentral lists this ribosomal RNA (468 nucleotides) under uncultured bacterium. Its description in RNAcentral is "partial 16S ribosomal RNA". It matches the Rfam family "Bacterial small subunit ribosomal RNA", at positions 28 to 507 of the family's 1533-position model. The record is from RNAcentral.